Molecule: long non-coding RNA, 132 nt
Organism: Bufo bufo (common toad)
Lineage: Eukaryota; Metazoa; Chordata; Amphibia; Anura; Bufonidae
Exons: 4
Source: RefSeq, a predicted model, not a curated record
GAGCUGUAGAAGAGGCACUGAAGACAGGGAAUGGGGCGCUGGGCACCGGACAACGAGGGGUGCGGCCGGGCACCCUGUAUUAACGGACCUUCCCUUGGGCACCUUAAACAUCACUAAUGCACUGUUAGAAUU